Molecule: ribosomal RNA, 450 nt
Filed under: uncultured bacterium
Lineage: Bacteria
Description: bacterial SSU rRNA
Rfam family: Bacterial small subunit ribosomal RNA
Source: RNAcentral
GAGUUUGAUCCUGGCUCAGGAUGAACGCUAGCGGCAGGCUUAACACAUGCAAGUCGAGGGGCAUCGGGAGGGAAGCUUGCUUUCCUUGCCGGCGACCGGCGCAUGGGUGAGUAACACGUAUGCAACCUGCCCUCUUCAGGGGGACAACCUUCCGAAAGGGAGGCUAAUCCCGCGUAUAUCGGUUUCGGGCAUCCGAGAUCGAGGAAAGAUUCAUCGGAAGAGGAUGGGCAUGCGGCGCAUUAGCUUGACGGCGGGGUAACGGCCCACCGUGGCGACGAUGCGUAGGGGUUCUGAGAGGAAGGUCCCCCACACUGGUACUGAGACACGGACCAGACUCCUACGGGAGGCAGCAGUGAGGAAUAUUGGUCAAUGGGAGAGAUCCUGAACCAGCCAAGCCGCGUGAGGGAAGACGGCCCUAUGGGUUGUAAACCUCUUGGACGGAGAACAAAA